GAUGAACGCUGGCGGCGUGCCUAAUACAUGCAAGUCGAGCGAACAGAUGAGGAGCUUGCUCCUCUGACGUUAGCGGCGGACGGGUGAGUAACACGUGGAUAACCUACCUAUAAGACUGGUAUAACUUCGGGAAACCGGAGCUAAUACCGGAUAAUAUAUUGAACCGCAUGGUUCAAUAGUGAAAGACGGUUUUGCUGUCACUUAUAGAUGGAUCCGCGCCGCAUUAGCUAGUUGGUAAGGUAACGGCUUACCAAGGCAACGAUGCGUAGCCGACCUGAGAGGGGGAUCGGCCACACGGGAACUGAGACACGGUCCAGACUCCUACGGGAGGCAGCAGUAGGGAAUCUUCCGCAAUGGGCGGAAGCCUGACGGAGCAACGCCGCGUGAGUGAUGAAGGUCUUCGGAUCGUAAAACUCUGUUAUGAGGGAAGAACAAAUGUGUAAGUAACUAUGCACGUCUUGACGGUACCUAAUCAGAAAGCCACGGCUAACUACGUG
Molecule: ribosomal RNA, 497 nt
Filed under: uncultured bacterium
Lineage: Bacteria
Description: partial 16S ribosomal RNA
Rfam family: Bacterial small subunit ribosomal RNA
Source: RNAcentral